UUACACAUGCAGUCGAGGGGCAGCAUGAACUUAGCUUGCUAAGUUUGAUGGCGACCGGCGCACGGGUGAGUAACACGUAUCCAACCUGCCGAUGACUCGGGGAUAGCCUUUCGAAAGAAAGAUUAAUACCCGAUGGCAUAGUUCUUCCGCAUGGUGGAACUAUUAAAGAAUUUCGGUCAUCGAUGGGGAUGCGUUCCAUUAGGUUGUUGGCGGGGUAACGGCCCACCAAGCCUUCGAUGGAUAGGGGUUCUGAGAGGAAGGUCCCCCACAUUGGAACUGAGACACGGUCCAAACUCCUACGGGAGGCAGCAGUGAGGAAUAUUGGUCAAUGGACGAGAGUCUGAACCAGCCAAGUAGCGUGAAGGAUGACUGCCCUAUGGGUUGUAAACUUCUUUUAUACGGGAAUAAAGUGAGGCACGUGUGCCUUUUUGUAUGUACCGUAUGAAUAAGGAUCGGCUAACUCCGUGCCAGCAGCCGCGGUAAUACGGAGGAUCCGAGCGUUAUCCGGAUUUAUUGGGUUUAAAGGGAGCGUAGGCGGACGCUUAAGUCAGUUGUGAAAGUUUGCGGCUCAACCGUAAAAUUGCAGUUGAUACUGGGUGUCUUGAGUACAGUAGAGGCAGGCGGAAUUCGUGGUGUAGCGGUGAAAUGCUUAGAUAUCACGAAGAACUCCGAUUGCGAAGGCAGCUUGCUGGACUGUAACUGACGCUGAUGCUCGAAAGUGUGGGUAUCAAACAGGAUUAGAUACCCUGGUAGUCCACACAGUAAACGAUGAAUACUCGCUGUUUGCGAUAUACAGUAAGCGGCCAAGCGAAAGCGUUAAGUAUUCCACCUGGGGAGUACGCCGGCAACGGUGAAACUCAAAGGAAUUGACGGGGGCCCGCA
Molecule: ribosomal RNA, 882 nt
Filed under: uncultured bacterium
Lineage: Bacteria
Description: bacterial SSU rRNA
Rfam family: Bacterial small subunit ribosomal RNA
Source: RNAcentral